Molecule: ribosomal RNA, 253 nt
Filed under: uncultured bacterium
Lineage: Bacteria
Description: partial 16S ribosomal RNA
Rfam family: Bacterial small subunit ribosomal RNA
Source: RNAcentral
UACGUAGGGGGCAAGCGUUAUCCGGAAUUACUGGGUGUAAAGGGAGCGUAGACGGUAAUGUAAGUCUGGAGUGAAAGGCGGGGGCCCAACCCCCGGGCUGCUCUGGAAACUAUGUUACUAGAGUGCAGGAGAGGUAAGCGGAAUUCCUAGUGUAGCGGUGAAAUGCGUAGAUAUUAGGAGGAACACCAGUGGCGAAGGCGGCUUACUGGACUGUAACUGACGUUGAGGCUCGAAAGCGUGGGGAGCAAACAGG